ACGGCGAGUGAAGCGGCAACAGCUCAAAUUUGAAAGCUGGCCUUCGGGUCCGCAUUGUAAUUUGUAGAGGAUGCUUUGGGGCAGCCGCCUGUCUAAGUUCCUUGGAACAGGACGUCAUAGAGGGUGAGAAUCCCGUAUGUGACAGGACAUGGCACCCUAUGUAAAGCUCCUUCGACGAGUCGAGUUGUUUGGGAAUGCAGCUCUAAAUGGGAGGUAAAUUUCUUCUAAAGCUAAAUACCGGCGAGAGACCGAUAGCGCACAAGUAGAGUGAUCGAAAGAUGAAAAGCACUUUGGAAAGAGAGUUAAAAAGCACGUGAAAUUGUUGAAAGGGAAGCGCUUGCAAUCAGACUUGUUUAAACUGUUCGGCCGGUCUUCUGACCGGUUUACUCAGUUUGGACAGGCCAGCAUCAGUUUCGGCGGCCGGAUAAAGGCCCUAGGAAUGUGACCCCCUCUUCGGAGGGGGUGUUAUAGCCUGGGGUGUAAUACGGCCAGCCGGGACUGA
This 502-nucleotide ribosomal RNA is filed under the name Aureobasidium iranianum. RNAcentral describes it as "partial large subunit ribosomal RNA". It matches the Rfam family "Eukaryotic large subunit ribosomal RNA", at positions 86 to 596 of the family's 3401-position model. The record is from RNAcentral. Lineage: Eukaryota; Fungi; Ascomycota; Dothideomycetes; Dothideales; Saccotheciaceae.